CUGACGCAGCCAUGCCGCGUGUAUGAUGAAGGUCUUAGGAUUGUAAAAUACUUUCACCGGUGAAGAUAAUGACUGUAGCCGGAGAAGAAGCCCCGGCUAACUUCGUGCCAACAGCCGCGGUAAUACGAAGGGGGCUAGCGUUGCUCGGAAUUACUGGGCGUAAAGAGAGCGUAGGCGGACAUUUAAGUCAGGGGUGAAAUCCCGGAGCUCAACUCCGGAACUGCCUUUGAUACUGGGUGUCUUGAGUGUGAGAGAGGUAUGUGGAAUUCCGAGUGUAGAGGUGAAAUUCGUAGAUAUUCGGAAGAACACCAGUCGCGAAGGCGACAUACUGGCUCAUUACUGACGCUGAGGCUCGAAAGCGUGGGGAGCAAACAGGAUUAGAUACCCUGGUAGUCCACGCCGUAAACGAUGAUUGCUAGUUGUCGGGGAGUUUACUUCUCGGUGACGCAGCCAACGCAUUAAGCAAUCCGCCUGGGGAGUACGGUCGCAAGAUUAAAACUCA
RNAcentral lists this ribosomal RNA (502 nucleotides) under uncultured Brevundimonas sp. RNAcentral describes it as "bacterial SSU rRNA". It matches the Rfam family "Bacterial small subunit ribosomal RNA", at positions 383 to 903 of the family's 1533-position model. Lineage: Bacteria; Pseudomonadati; Pseudomonadota; Alphaproteobacteria; Caulobacterales; Caulobacteraceae. The record is from RNAcentral.